Molecule: ribosomal RNA, 609 nt
Filed under: uncultured fungus
Lineage: Eukaryota; Fungi
Description: eukaryotic LSU rRNA
Rfam family: 5.8S ribosomal RNA (bases 226-379)
Source: RNAcentral
AGUCGUAACAAGGUUUCCGUAGGUGAACCUGCGGAAGGAUCAUUAAAGAGUAAGGGUGCUCAGCGCCCGACCUCCAACCCUUUGUUGUUAAAACUACCUUGUUGCUUUGGCGGGACCGCUCGGUCUCGAGCCGCUGGGGAUUCGUCCCAGGCGAGCGCCCGCCAGAGUUAAACCAAACUCUUGUUAUUAAACCGGUCGUCUGAGUUAAAAUUUUGAAUAAAUCAAAACUUUCAACAACGAAUCUCUUGGUUCUCGCAUCGAUGAAGAACGCAGCGAAAUGCGAUAAGUAAUGUGAAUUGCAGAAUUCAGUGAAUCAUCGAAUCUUUGAACGCACAUUGCGCCCCUUGGUAUUCCGAGGGGCAUGCCUGUUCGAGCGUCAUUACACCACUCAAGCUAUGCUUGGUAUUGGGUGCCGUCCUUAGUUGGGCGCGCCUUAAAGACCUCGGCGAGGCCUCACCGGCUUUAGGCGUAGUAGAAUUUAUUCGAACGUCUGUCAAAGGAGAGGACUUCUGCCGACUGAAACCUUUUAUUUUUCUAGGUUGACCUCGGAUCAGGUAGGGAUACCCGCUGAACUUAAGCAUAUCAAUAAGCGGAGGAAAUUAAAAGUCG